This is a non-coding RNA of Mycena epipterygia, 95 nucleotides long. Lineage: Eukaryota; Fungi; Basidiomycota; Agaricomycetes; Agaricales; Mycenaceae. The record is from the annotation of a GenBank genome assembly.
UGGGACGUGGUGUACGGUGCACGGCCGCAUUCAAUUAGGAAUUGGGCAUCAUGACGGUGAAGCAGCACGUCGGGGUUCGACUCCCCGCGUCCCAA